This is a long non-coding RNA of Mus musculus (house mouse), 436 nucleotides long. RefSeq annotates it as predicted gene, 39817. NCBI's taxonomy places the organism in Eukaryota, Metazoa, Chordata, Mammalia, Rodentia, Muridae. The record is from RefSeq and is a predicted model, not a curated record. The transcript is spliced from 3 exons.
GAAGAAACAAUGAGCGGAUGAAUAUAUUUAUAUUCUAAGCCAUUAGGUAGAGGGUAUGACAAAAUAGAAAAGUCAAGAGUGACUGUCAGGAAUUUUUCCAAGGUUUGACCUAACCUCUGAACUUCUUUGUUUUCUCAUCUGAAAGAUAUGAAUGAAUACUCUCUUCACCGGAGAACUGAUUUGAGAACUGAGUGAAUCUACUAUGAGGAUCACAGUGUAAAUAUCUCUCCUUCACCCUGCACUCUGCUCUGUGAUGUUCUGCCUCGACACAGGUCCUUCGUCACAGUAACACACAGAUGCAUGACUGAAUUUUGGGAUACUAAACUGGCUCUUGCCAUCACUCCAGGCCCCGCUCUAAUACUAAAGCACUUUGCAGCUGGAUCUGUGCAUGUUAAGUGUUUUCUCACUUAAAAGGAGAAGAGAAGUGAAACCCCAG